Molecule: transfer RNA, 73 nt
Filed under: Sus scrofa (pig)
Lineage: Eukaryota; Metazoa; Chordata; Mammalia; Artiodactyla; Suidae
Rfam family: tRNA
About the family: Transfer RNA (tRNA) molecules are approximately 80 nucleotides in length. Their secondary structure includes four short double-helical elements and three loops (D, anti-codon, and T loops).
Source: Rfam by way of RNAcentral
UCCCUGGUGGCCUAGAGGUUAAGGAUCCAGCAUUGUCACUGCUGUGGCGUGGGUUCGAUUCCUGGCCUGGGAA